This 253-nucleotide ribosomal RNA is filed under the name uncultured bacterium. Its description in RNAcentral is "partial 16S ribosomal RNA". It matches the Rfam family "Bacterial small subunit ribosomal RNA", at positions 524 to 776 of the family's 1533-position model. The record is from RNAcentral.
UACAGAGGGUGCGAGCGUUAAUCGGAAUUACUGGGCGUAAAGCGCACGUAGUCGGCUUCUUAAGUCAGGGGUGAAAUCCUGGAGCUCAACUCCAGAACUGCCUUUGAUACUGAGGAGCUUGAGUCCGGGAGAGGUGAGUGGAACUGCGAGUGUAGAGGUGAAAUUCGUAGAUAUUCGCAAGAACACCAGUGGCGAAGGCGGCGACCUGGGCCAAUAUUGACGCUGAGGUGCGAAAGCGUGGGGAGCAAACAGG